CUACGUGCCAGCAGCCGCGGUAAUACGUAGGUGGCGAGCGUUGUCCGGAAUUAUUGGGCGUAAAGGGAGCGCAGGCGGACAUAUAAGUCCAUCUUAAAAGUGCGGGGCUCAACCCCGUGAGGGGAUGGAAACUGUAUGCCUUGAGUGCAGGAGAGGAAAGCGGAAUUCCCAGUGUAGCGGUGAAAUGCGUAGAUAUUGGGAGGAACACCAGUGGCGAAGGCGGCUUUCUGGACUGUAACUGACGCUGAGGCUCGAAAGCCAGGGGAGCGAACGGGAUUAGAUACCCCGGUAGUCCUGGCCGUAAACGAUGAAUGCUAGGUGUAGGAGGUAUCGACCCCUCCUGUGCCGGAGUUAACGCAAUAAGCAUUCCGCCUGGGGAGUACGGUCGCAAGACUGAAACUCAAAGGAAUUGACGGGGGCCCGCACAAGCGGUGGAGUAUGUGGUUUAAUUCGACGCAACGCGAAGAACCUUACCUGGUCUUGACAU
This 487-nucleotide ribosomal RNA is filed under the name uncultured bacterium. RNAcentral's name for it is "bacterial SSU rRNA". It matches the Rfam family "Bacterial small subunit ribosomal RNA", at positions 501 to 987 of the family's 1533-position model. The record is from RNAcentral.